GAUCCUGGCUCAGAAUCAACGCUGGCGGCGUGCCUCAGACAUGCAAGUCGAACGCGAAAUCUCCCUUCGGGGAGAAAGUAGAGUGGCGCACGGGUGAGUAACACGUAGGUAAUUUGCCUUUGGGUGGGGAAUAACAGCCGGAAACGGCUGCUAAUACCGCAUAAUGCAGCGGCUCGACAUCGAGACAGUUGUUAAAGCGGGGGAUCGCAAGACCUCGCGCCUGAAGAGAAGCCUGCGGCAGAUUAGCUAGUUGGCAGGGUAAUGGCCUACCAAGGCGACGAUCUGUAACCGGCCUGAGAGGGCGGUCGGUCACACUGACACUGACAUACGGGUCAGACUCCUACGGGAGGCAGCAGUCGGGAAUUUUGGGCAAUGGGCGAAAGCCUGACCCAGCAACGCCGCGUGAAGGAUGAAAUCCCUCGGGAUGUAAACUUCGCAAGAAUGGGAAGAAUAAGUGUGGGCUAAUACCCUUCAUGAUGACGGUACCAUUUGUAAGCUCCGGCUAACUUCGUGCCAGCAGCCGCGGUAAUACGAGGGGAGCAAGCGUUGUUCGGAUUUACUGGGCGUAAAGGGCGCGUAGGCGGCCACGACAAGUCACUUGUGAAAUCUCCGGGCUUAACUCGGAGCGGUCAAGUGAUACUGUCGGGCUAGAGUACAGAAGGGGCAACUGGAAUUCUCGGUGUAGCGGUG
This 690-nucleotide ribosomal RNA is filed under the name uncultured Acidobacteriota bacterium. RNAcentral describes it as "bacterial SSU rRNA". It matches the Rfam family "Bacterial small subunit ribosomal RNA", at positions 15 to 683 of the family's 1533-position model. The record is from RNAcentral. Lineage: Bacteria; Pseudomonadati; Acidobacteriota.